This 572-nucleotide long non-coding RNA is filed under the name Mytilus galloprovincialis (Mediterranean mussel). Lineage: Eukaryota; Metazoa; Mollusca; Bivalvia; Mytilida; Mytilidae. The record is from RNAcentral.
GUUGUAUUUUGACUAAUUAUAGAUGGUUCUUACAAGCACUUUCUGUUUAUCUCAAUGUCAGUAUAUAUCUGUUCCAUAAUCACACUAUGCGACUCACAUUCAAUGGGACGUCAACUUAAUGUAUUGCUCAAUUCUUAGAUCUUGUAAACUGUUGUUUAUAUUUUUAUGCCCCACCUACGAUAGUAGAGGGGCAUUAUGUUUUCUGGUCUGUGGCUCCGUCCGUCCGUCCAGGUUAAAGUUUUUGGUCAAGGUAGUUUUUGAUGAAGCUGAAGUCCAAUCAACUUGAAACUUAGUACACUUGUUGCUUAUGAGAUGAUCCUUCUAAUUUUUAAGCCAAAAUUAGACUUUUGACCCCAAUUUCACGGUCAACUGAACAUAGAAAAUGAAAGUGGGAGUUUCAGGUUAAAGUUUUUGGUCAAGGUAGUUUUUGAUGAAGCUGAAGUCCAAUCAACUUGAAACUUAGUACACUUGUUGCUUAUGAUAUGAUCUUUCUAAUUUUAAUACCAAAUUAGAUAAUUACCCAAUUUUACGGUCCAUGGAACAUGGAAAAGGAUAGUGCGAGUGGGGCAUCC